CGCGUAGGCGGUCUAUUAAGUCUGAUGUGAAAGGUACCGGCUCAACCGGUGAAGUGCAUUGGAAACUGGUAGACUUGAGUAUUGGAGAGGCAAGUGGAAUUCCUAGUGUAGCGAUGAAAUGCGUAGAUAUUAGGAGGAACACCAGUGGCGAAGGCGGCUUGCUGGACAAAUACUGACGCUGAGGUGCGAAAGCGUGGGGAGCGAACA
Molecule: ribosomal RNA, 207 nt
Filed under: uncultured bacterium
Lineage: Bacteria
Description: partial 16S ribosomal RNA
Rfam family: Bacterial small subunit ribosomal RNA
Source: RNAcentral